Molecule: RNA transcript, 2358 nt
Organism: Equus caballus (horse)
Lineage: Eukaryota; Metazoa; Chordata; Mammalia; Perissodactyla; Equidae
Source: RefSeq, a predicted model, not a curated record
CCGCGCCCCGCGCCCCUGCUUAAAGGGCCCGCGCCCCGCCGCCAGGGGCGCUCUCACUCCCCUCCCCCAGCGCUGGGUGCCUCCUGGGACCGGAGAAGUCCGGGGAGAGAGCCCAGCCCUGGUAGAUCCCGCCGCUGGGCCGAGGAAGAGCGAGGGGGUCUGUUGGACCUCAAUUCCACCCUUCCCCUUCGACAGCCAUUCACUCCCUGCGCCAGGCUCUGUGCUGGGAUCCAGCCUCAACAGACUCAUUCAUUGCUAGGCGCGGACAACGUCCCGUAAACAAAGAACACUCAGACAUUGUGGAUUGAGCUAUAAUAAGUGGGAGAAAGAGCUAAUUCUAAUUCUGCCUGGAGGAAGGGCACUGCAAGUCAUGGAAUUUGUACUGUCUAGGGGACUGCAUAUUGGAGCUGGAAGAGGGUUUUUCCAGAGGAAGUAACUGGAGAUGAGGUGGGACGGGACAGGCUGGGACGAAGAAUUUGGGCUUCUUGAUGUUGGCAAUUGGGACCCCGCUGAGAAAUGCGAGCAGUUCUGUGUUGAAGUCAGAACACCUGCCACUAGCAAUUUGUACAACUUUGGGAAAGUUUCUCUAGGGGACCCCGCUUCCACAUCUAUAAAUCAGAGUACCCACUUCACAGUUUGCUGUGAGACCUGUGUGAUAGAGGAAUGACUGAUUCGUCACCUAUAGAGCAGGGUUGUGAGAUAAAGAUGUUUGUGUAGGAAAGCUUAAGCCGUUCUCCUCUGCUACGUGGUGUAAAGAUCCCAGGUGGGUUGUACCUUCUGAAAACGUGGGCGGGUUCUUCGCGCUGCCCCUCCCUCUUAACCCCUCUCCUCUCCCCACCCCUACCCUCUCUUCCUUCUUCCUUAUUUGUGUUCUUUCUUGGGAACAAAUGACAUAUCCAGCAGAGAGUGACGCUCAAUAAAUGAGACUGUACGACGAUUCAAUACUCAGGAAAAGAAGGUGCUGUAUGCAUUCAAGUUAAAGGGCUGUAAAUAUUUUCGUAAUUCUAACAGAACUUUGCCCUCUUCUGCGAUCUCAGUGUGUGCUCGGUGCUGACUUCAUCCCCUCCCAUAAAAAUACUGUCCGUACGCGGUGGAGCCCUUGAAACCCUGCCCUUCUCAGCCCUAAUCCUCGUUCUUUAGUCCUGCACACUUCCUUCUACCCUACGCGCGCGCUAGGUGGAGUCUCCGGUCCUUAGUAAAGGGAAGGCUUCUUCGCCCCCUGGUGGUCAUAAGUGGAAAAGGUGAGUAAAUCAGAAAUCCUGUCCCCCCCCCUGCUUCCCAUAACAAAUUUUCGUUAGUCUGGAUAGCUAGGUCGUCGCGCUUCAGGAAAAGAGCUUCUCCUGAGGGAGACAGCUAUGUGAACAACUCUUUACGUUAGAAGUCUGAAAAGGGCCGUACGAAUCGGGAGUAAGGAUCAAGGAUGGCCAUUCAGCCUCUGCCGGAACACAUCCCGGGAUGGAACAUCCUAGUCCUCCUGGGAAAAGGCAGAAGUCUGGGUUCCACUUGCGAGUUGUGUACAAUAAACUGAAGAAAAUCAGGAAUCCAGGUGCAGCUUAGGUGGGUGCCUCUGUUUCAAGAUCUCUUACGAGACUACAAUUAAAGUCUAAGCUGGGACUACAGCCUCAUUUCACGGCUUGACUGUGGAAGGAUCUGCUUCCAAGGUCACUCAUGUGGUUGUUGGCAGGAAUCAGUCCUCAGGUGCUGUUGGACUUGGUUCCGUGCUGGCUAUUGGCUGGAGGCUGUCCUCAGUUCCUUGCCGUGUGGACCUCUCUGUAGGGCAGCUCACAACAUGGCAGAUGGCUUCCAUCAGAGCAAGGAGGUGAGAAAAACAGAGAGAACGAGAAAGACAGAGAAAGAGAUGGAUGGAAGCCAAAAUGUUUUUGCAAUCUGACCUCAGAUGUGGCAUCCUGUCUCUUUUGUCAUAUUCUGUUCAUUAAAAAAAAGUCAUUAGGUUCAGCUCACACUCAAGGUGAGGGGAUUACACGACGGAAUGAAGACCAGGAGCCAUCUCAGUGGCUCCCUAGGACACAGCUCAAAUCUGCUCUUUCAUCCCGUGUCAGACCUGGACAGCUCUGACCCAUUCUCCAAGCCUCAGAGUAGAUGCUUUACCCUCCAGGAUUGAGUUAAUGGUCCUUCAAGCAUGCCUCUGUGACACCCUGGACUUCUCCAUCAUAGCCCCCACCACAGCAUGUCAUUACCUAGCCACUGGUCUGCCUCCUGCCCCUUCUGUAAGCUCUGUGAGGACAGCCACCUUGUCUCUUGUCUUCACUGAUGUGGACCCAGACCCAAGCAUAGGGCCAAAACAUACUGGGCACUCGGGGUAUGUUUACUAAAUUUAUUAAACGACCGUUCUUAUAA